CGUGGGAACCUACCUAGUGGUACGGAAUAACUCGGGAACCCGUGCUAAUACCGUAUGUGCCCGAAAGGGAAGAUUUAUCGCCAUUAGAUGGGCCCGCGUCGGAUUAGCUUGUUGGUGAGGUAAUGGCUCACCAAGGCGACGAUCCGUAGCUGGUCUGAGAGGAUGAUCAGCCACACUGGGGCUGAGACACGGCCCAGACUCCUACGGGAGGCAGCAGUGGGGGAUAUUGGACAAUGGGCGCAAGCCUGAUCCAGCCAUGCCGCGUGAGUGACGAAGGCCUUAGGGUUGUAAAGCUCUUUU
This 300-nucleotide ribosomal RNA is filed under the name uncultured Hyphomicrobiaceae bacterium. RNAcentral describes it as "bacterial SSU rRNA". It matches the Rfam family "Bacterial small subunit ribosomal RNA", at positions 116 to 437 of the family's 1533-position model. Lineage: Bacteria; Pseudomonadati; Pseudomonadota; Alphaproteobacteria; Hyphomicrobiales; Hyphomicrobiaceae. The record is from RNAcentral.